CCACACUCCCAGCUGUCAACAUGUGAACUUCAACAAGAUAACAACACAGGUGAAGCUGGGAAAGGGAAUGUGCUGGAAAGCAUCUACACCCAUCCUCAACCAGUUCGGUAGUCUUUGGACAGUGAUAGACCAGGAAAAAAAAACAAACCACCCAAAACCCCUUCUAAACACAUGGUCCCAUUCAUAGUUUUCUUUCAGAUUAUAAAUUUUUACCACAAUCACUUAGAUCCUGUACACUGAUGAUUAACAUUACAGGAUUCUGAAGUCUGAUACAGUUUUCACAACUGACCGUGUUAUACUCAGCAGAUACUCUUGUAUGUAUUACUGAGAUCUUUUGGGCUUUAAACACGGGUUUGAUUAGGAACUGGGACUGACCAGGUUUUGGAAAGCAUAGGAAGUGAACCUGGACAGGCAGAGCUGCAGAAAACUGCGAAUGAAGCUAGUGUAUAUUUUGGUCUAUGCAAGUGACAAAGUGUAAGUUGUUUGAUGUACAUUGAGCAGCAAAGCACAUGAGAGACCUUCCUUUGCCUGUACUGUCUGACUGGCAAUGAUUUUUAUUUUUCCAGCUCUUCAGUUUUCACCAAAUUCAGCAUUUGUUCCCACCAACCCCUUAAAGCAUGUCUGAUACUGUGUAUUCCAUCAGAUUUUUUCAAAAGUUUCAUAUUACGUACAGAUAGAUGCAAAUAAUUAAACAUCAGUGAACCAAGUUACGUAGAACUUCACUUUGUUCAGCUCAUACUGUGCUUAAAAUAAUAAUUCAUCACAAAUAACUCUGCUACCAAAACCUUGCCACGCAAACCCAAUACAAGUCUACAAAAACUUGAUUCUUUUCAGUUUUUUGGAAAGAAACAUGAAACCUGCAUUAAAAAUUAAUCUGAUAGCCACCCUUCCACAACAUUUGUUACUAUAAAUUAAGUUUCCCUCUUUAAAUAAAUUGUGCAAACCCAAACCUUUCCCAGAUAUUCCCAUUACCCUUUAGUCUCUGAGUGCCUCUGUCUUUCACUUUGGAAUUUCUCUUAAGCUCUACCACUAGAUAGCUCUAGCAAUUUCUCCACAGUCCCCAGUGCACCAGCAAGCCAUAUUUGCCUUACAAAGGCUGAAAAGCUAAGCAUGGCUCCUUCACAUAUAACAGGACAAAAUCAGGCAACGGUUUCUCCCUCACACUUAAAAUGUACCAUCACAGACAGUAAAUCUGAUCUGGCAGGGAUGUCAGAUCCAAAUUACUGGGUAGACAACAAUUUGCUGUUUACUUGACUGUUAACAGCUUCCAGCCUUUUCAGAAAUAUUUUCUUUAUCAGUAGGGAACAGACCUCAACACUGCUUACAACAAGACUUGUAAUUACAGCAGCUGCAUAGAAAUAGCAAAAACACAUACAGCACACAAAAUUUCAGACCAUCUCUUUGUAACUUCAGUAACCUCAAGGGAGUGAUAGAGCCUGCAAGAGGACAUGCAAUCACCUUUAAAAUAAAAUUAAUUAAAAAAAAACCACAACAAAACCCAAAUAAUAAUUAGUAUUUCUAAUAUCAAGGUUCCAAAUUCACAGGAGCACAGGAAGCACUAUAAUAAAUGAGAUGUCUCAGGUGCUGGGAGGGCAAAUAUCCCUAAUAUUAUCUCUUAGCCUGCCUUUAAUAAACUACAAGAUUGUCUAGAGCUUUGAGAUUUAAAUCGUUCUACCAAAACUAUUACCAUCAUUGAUUGUAAUUGGGAAUACUCCUAUUAUUCAUAUACAGUGUAUUCAUGAAUAUUUCUAAGUUACACUCAGUUACAUUCCAUAGCACAUGGAAAUUAUGAAGUAUUUUUAGUAAUACUGCAUUUGCUACCAUUUUAUCUUUGAAUUUUAUCUGCUGAAUUUCUUCUUGCUCUUAAGGUUACUCAUCCCAACAAAGGGCUGAAAAGUGCUGAGCUACCUUCUUCAGGUGCUUGUUUCACACAUUGUUAAGUUGUUUCCCUUUAUUCCUAUUUGUUUUAGUGUAAACAACCCUAGGGUUUUUAGUACUUUUCACAAUUAAAAUCUCUAUUCAAAAACUCCUGAAGGAACUUUAUGGUUAUCAAUUCCUCAAAAGCUUUCUUCUUGAGAAACCAAACACACCUUUAAAGAAAUGAACCGGUCAACUAAUAAACACGUUAAAAAAUGCAAAAAUGGAGAUAAACGGUAUUAAAGGGGUGUAAUCAAGAGCUUUAGCGGGUACCGCACCAUCAGAACCACUUGCUGUGAUUCCACCUCCCUAAUUUACAGCUGCCUACCACCCGCUCUGUAUUUAGUAGCUUCGCUGCUUUUGGCACUCGUCCAGAAAAGCGCCAGCUUCCACAGGCACAUGUCACCGUUUCCAAACGCCACUCCUGCUCCGCGCAGGCCGGCCAUCCCUCUCAAAGGUCACCAGAGGAUAUGCCAGGACGGUUCAGGUCAUCCUUCCUAGCACAUCCAAGCUCAAGGUCAACCCCCGACCUCCUCACCGUCCGCCGCAGGCGCCCUCAAACGCACAUCGGCCUUGGCAACCCCUGAGGCGGACGCGGCUUUGCCUUAGUGGAAGGACAAAGCCGUGCGGUGCAGAAGCAGAAAGUGUCACGAGAUGGUAAUAAGCCGCUUGAUGGAGAAGAGCGGUUCCCACGCGUACAGGCUGCCGGGCUCCUCCUUGCUUCGCUGCAGGUCCUAAUUUAGACCACUGAAAAGGCUGCUUUACACAGACCUCCAUUCUGAGCCAGUCCUUGAACUGAUCUGGAAGACAGAAGAAUGACCGAAAACCAAUACGAACUGGAGGCCCUAAAGUUUUGAAGAGUUGGAACUGUGCUCAGGAGAAGGAGUUUGGCAAAAUCACUGCAUGACUAAAUGUGCCCUCCUAUGUUUUAUACCCCUCCUUGUCUCCUUCCUUCCUUCUCUCUUUACUCCUUCCCUCCUUUGUCCUGUCCCCCUUUCCUCCUUCGUUCCUUCUCUCCUUCAUUCCUUCUUUCCUCUUUCCCUUCUCUCCCAAGCCUUUUAAUCUGCCAACUGUUCUUAACAGAUGUUUCCCACAUACCCACCCAACUUCUGAUUCUCCUACUUUUCUUUAUACUACCUCUGUUUCUCCCGCUGGGCUGCUAUUAUCAUUGCUACUCAUGCAUUGCGCAUUAGAAAUCCCACAUCCAAAUCCAGUCAAUAGAUGUUAGAUUCAAAAUUUUCUUUGAGGGCAGGUCUCAAUCCCAGCUUACUGAAGUCAACAGCAGAUCUUUCUCUGCCUAAGCCAACCGCUCUAUCCUAACUCGCUUUUGAGACUCACAUUAGAGAACUGCAGCAAGUUCUGAAACUUUUAACCUGAAAGGCCGGAAGUUAUUGGAAAACAAGCUCUUGUUUUGCAGUCCCUCGUGGAUAACACCCACUUGGAUGAAGUUGCCAUCUGUUGUUUUCUUGGAUCGUGUCAGAAUAUGUGAAAUAAACUGGAAGAGAGAGAGGCAAAACGACAGACAGAUGCAAGUGGGGAAUAAUGUUUGGAAAUUUACUAUUGAGGUUCUGCAAAGCAAGAGAAGGACAUGAAAUGUUGCAUGUUAGGUCUGGAAAAGAUCUGCUGGGGCAAUAAAGAUGAUUGCACCGACCACCAAAAAGUGGCUGGAGCAUAAAGAAAGCUCCCUGGCUGCCAUAGAUCCAGCAUCGUUGUUCUUUAUUUCUUUUUCUCAUAGUUUUCUAGGCAGAAAUGGGCUGAAUGCUGGCCGUGGGAGGUGGGACCAGAAUCAUCCUUUAGACCAUGGCAAGAAGGACAAAGUCAAACAGCAGUUAGAGUAAAUAAUUUGUGGGCUUAAUGAUGGGAACUAAAAGUGUGACAUUCCCAUUAACCUCUUCCCCAAUCUGACUUGUAAUGAGGAAUCCAGCCUGUAUCUUAUAACCCGUCUCCAGUUACAAGACAGGAAAGGAGAGGAAAAGUUGAGGUAUAGGGUUAUGAUCAGAAGUUUCAUCAGUUUAGUGAUGUCACAUACAUUUUCACUUAAAUUUAAAUAAAUUUAAAUUUAAAAUAAAGUGGUUUAGGAUUCAAAACCAAAUAAUAUCAGUUCUGUUGGUGAAAAUGAAAUAGUGUUGUUUAUCCCUGUUAAAAAAGAAGCAUAGUUUUCUCUCUUUUCCUCUCUUCAGCUAUCAAUGAAUACCUGCCUGUAAUAUAGAAAGAAGAUACAUGUAUUAUGUGCAAUAUUGCACAAGACCCCAAAUUGGUAUCGUACAGAAGGUACAUUUCCUGAAAAUGUUUUCAGAAGUGUUUUAAUAGCAAAUGCUUCAUCAAGCUGUUAUAUCAUGUUAUAUACAGGAAGAGAAAAACUAACACAGAGUUAGUUCAUCUGCUAGCUUUUGAAUUUAAGCAAACACUUAAUAUACCAGUAGUAUUUAUUGCUGUUACAAGAUGUUAGGCAUGUCUGUAAGUAGUAUUUAAAUAUGAUUCUCUUUUAAGCUGAAACAGUUUUACUGACUCAAUGAUACAAGCAUUUCCUGAAAAAGAAGGACAUAUUUCCUGUAUUUUGUUAAUAUUUGACAGCACUAAUCUUAAACCAGUAGCAACAUGACACUGAUUUGUAAGACAGAUUUUAAAGUAAGGUUGAAAUUCUGUAUUAUUGUAUCCCACGUAAACUUGUUUACCGAGCAACAAUUACAUAAUAAAUUACAUUUAAAAC
Molecule: long non-coding RNA, 4627 nt
Organism: Aquila chrysaetos chrysaetos
Lineage: Eukaryota; Metazoa; Chordata; Aves; Accipitriformes; Accipitridae
Exons: 3
Source: RefSeq, a predicted model, not a curated record